Long non-coding RNA from Salvelinus namaycush (lake trout), 637 nucleotides. RefSeq lists it as uncharacterized. The record is from RefSeq and is a predicted model, not a curated record. NCBI's taxonomy places the organism in Eukaryota, Metazoa, Chordata, Actinopteri, Salmoniformes, Salmonidae. The transcript is spliced from 3 exons.
GGAAAAAGGGGAGGGAAAAAGAGGAAGAACAACAUUCUGCAGGAGCAAGCAGCAAGAAAGCAAAACAAGCGAAAAUUGAAAAAAAGGGUCCAAUCCUAGAGCAGUUGGAGUCACCUGGGUCUUCUGCUGCUCUAACAGCAGAACUGUCAGUACUGGCCAUCAACACAGUCAGUACUCCACAUUCCUCUUUCCCCCUUUUCCUACAUUAUUCCCUUUUAAUGAUGUAAAGUGUGUACUCGUGACCAAUGUGAAAUGCACUUAAAAUAAACUCUGACUUUACUACUAACAUUUCAUUAUUUCCUGGCUUUAAAACAUACGUUGGUGAAGACCAGAGGACGUAUGUUGGGUCGUAUCUUUGCUCCUAGAUGUGUAACGAGCUGGGACAUAUCUGGAUGGAAUCAGGUGUGAGUGAGGACGCCAUGUCUGGACACAUCCAGCUCAUCAUAUCGGGGAGACCGAUAUAAUAUCGGGGGAGACCCUUCUAUGGGGACAGUCUUUCUGAACCCUUUUUUCUACGAGUAAUCAGGUGACGUGGUGGAGAAAUGGGUCUGCAACAAAAAAGAGGAUAUGAAGAUAGUGAAAGCUGAAUGAGGACAAGGCCUCAACUGGAUUAAAAGUUUCAUUAAUGAAUGUAAUU